GGUCUAAAAAGAUUGACUUACAGGGUCACAGAGUGGGAUCCAUCCCUUGGUAACUACAUGAAAGAAUUAGAGAAAUCAAAGCCUGUCAUACUAACUGGUGAUCUUAAUUGUGCGCAUCAGGAGAUUGAUAUACAUGACCCUGCUGGAAAUCGUAGAAGUGCAGGCUUCACAAACGAGGAAAGAGAAUCAUUUGGGACCAAUUUUUUGUCCAAAGGGUUUGUGCUGGCAGG
Zea mays is the source of this 230-nucleotide long non-coding RNA. RefSeq lists it as uncharacterized. NCBI's taxonomy places the organism in Eukaryota, Viridiplantae, Streptophyta, Magnoliopsida, Poales, Poaceae. The transcript is spliced from 4 exons. The record is from RefSeq and is a predicted model, not a curated record.